RNAcentral lists this ribosomal RNA (501 nucleotides) under uncultured bacterium. RNAcentral's name for it is "partial 16S ribosomal RNA". It matches the Rfam family "Bacterial small subunit ribosomal RNA", at positions 30 to 523 of the family's 1533-position model. The record is from RNAcentral.
AUUGAACGCUGGCGGCAGGCUUAACACAUGCAAGUCGAGCGGGGGAAGGUAGCUUGCUACUGGACCUAGCGGCGGACGGGUGAGUAAUGCUUAGGAAUCUGCCUAUUAGUGGGGGACAACAUCUCGAAAGGGAUGCUAAUACCGCAUACGUCCUACGGGAGAAAGCAGGGGAUCUUCGUACCUUGCGCUAAUAGAUGAGCCUAAGUCGGAUUAGCUAGUUGGUGGGGUAAAGGCCUACCAAGGCGACGAUCUGUAGCGGGUCUGAGAGGAUGAUCCGCCACACUGGGACUGAGACACGGCCCAGACUCCUACGGGAGGCAGCAGUGGGGAAUAUUGGACAAUGGGGGGAACCCUGAUCCAGCCAUGCCGCGUGUGUGAAGAAGGCCUUAUGGUUGUAAAGCACUUUAAGCGAGGAGGAGGCUACUCUAGUUAAUACCUAGGGAUAGUGGACGUUACUCGCAGAAUAAGCACCGGCUAACUCUGUGCCAGCCGCCGCUGUAA